Molecule: ribosomal RNA, 253 nt
Filed under: uncultured bacterium
Lineage: Bacteria
Description: partial 16S ribosomal RNA
Rfam family: Bacterial small subunit ribosomal RNA
Source: RNAcentral
UACGUAGGUGGCAAGCGUUGUCCGGAAUUAUUGGGCGUAAAGCGCGCGCAGGCGGUCCUUUAAGUCUGAUGUGAAAGCCCACGGCUCAACCGUGGAGGGUCAUUGGAAACUGGGGGACUUGAGUACAGAAGAGAAGAGUGGAAUUCCACGUAUAGCGGUGAAAUGCGUAGAGAUGUGGAGGAACACCAGUGGCGAAGGCGACUCUUUGGUCUGUAACUGACGCUGAGGCGCGAAAGCGUGGGGAGCAAACAGG